GAUGAACGCUAGCGGCAGGCCUAAUACAUGCAAGUCGAACGGAUAUAUGUUUUUCGGAAUAUAUAUUAGUGGCGCACGGGUGAGUAACACGUACAUAACUUGCCCUCAAGCGGGGGAUAGCCUUGGGAAACUGAGAGUAAUACCCCAUAGAAUUAUUGGACGGCAUCGUUUGAUAAUUAAAACUACGGUGUUUGGGGAUAGAUGUGCGUCUGAUUAGCUAGUUGGUGAGGUAACUGCUCACCAAGGCGACGAUCAGUAGGGGGCGUGAGAGCGUGGCCCCCCCACACGGGUACUGAGACACGGACCCGACUCCUACGGGAGGCAGCAGUAAGGAAUAUUGGUCAAUGGAGGGAACUCUGAACCAGCCAUGCCGCGUGAAGGAUGACGGCCCUCUGGGUUGUAAACUUCUUUUGGAUGGGGCGAAAAAACGGAUUUAUCCUGGACUGACGGUACCAUCAGAAUAAGCACCGGCUAACUCCGUG
Molecule: ribosomal RNA, 482 nt
Filed under: uncultured bacterium
Lineage: Bacteria
Description: bacterial SSU rRNA
Rfam family: Bacterial small subunit ribosomal RNA
Source: RNAcentral